GAUUUCACGCUGCUGAAAAAAGUUUCGUAGGAAGAAAAUAUUGCCCGUACCGCAAACCGACACAGGUACUCGAGUGGAGAACACUAAGGUGAGCGAGUGAACUAUUGUUAAGGAACUCUGCAAAAUGAGUCCGUAACUUCGGAAGAAGGACUGCUGGUUUUAUACCAGCCGCAGCAAAUAGGCCCAAACAACUGUUUAUCAAAAACACAGGUUUCUGCAAAAUCGUAAGAUGAAGUAUAGGGGCUGACGCCUGCCCAGUGCUGGAAGGUUAAAAGGAGGACUUAGCUUCGGCGAAGGUCUUAAUUGAAGCCCCAGUGAACGGCGGCCGUAACUAUAACGGUCCUAAGGUAGCGAAAUUCCUUGUCGGGUAAGUUCCGACCCGCAUGAAAGGCGUAAUGAUUUGGGCGCUGUCUCAACAAUAGACUCGGUGAAAUUUAAAUUCCAGUGAAGAUGCUGGGUACCCGCGACAGGACGGAAAGACCCCGUGGAGCUUUACUGUAGCUUGAUAUUGAAUGUUUGUGCUGCAUGUGCAGGAUAGGUAGGAGACUUUGAAGUCGGAACGCUAGUUUCGAUUGAGUCACCCUUGAGAUACUACCCCUGUUGUAUGAACGUUCUAACUCUGAUCAGUUAUCCUGAUCGAAGACAGUGUCUGGCAGGCAGUUUGACUGGGGCGGUCGCCUCCUAAAAGAUAACGGAGGCGCUCAAAGGUUUGCUCAGAAUGGUUGGAAAUCAUUCGUAGCGUGUAAAGGCAUAAGCAAGCUUGACUGUGAGACUGACAAGUCGAGCAGGUACGAAAGUAGGACUUAGUGAUCCGGUGGUUCCGUAUGGAAGGGCCAUCGCUCAACGGACAAAAGCUACCCCGGGGAUAACAGGCUCAUCUCCCCCAAGAGUCCACAUCGACGGGGAGGUUUGGCACCUCGAUGUCGGCUCAUCGCAUCCUGGGGCUGUAGUCGGUCCCAAGGGUUGGGCUGUUCGCCCAUUAAAGCGGUACGCGAGCUGGGUUCAGAACGUCGUGAGACAGUUCGGUCCCUAUCCGUCGUGGGCGCAGGAAAUUUGAGAGGAUCUGUCCUUAGUACGAGAGGACCGGGAUGGACAUACCUCUGGUGUACCAGUUGUUCUGCCAAGAGCACCGCUGGGUAGCUACGUAUGGAUUAGAUAAUCGCUGAAAGCAUCUAAGUGAGAAACUAACCUCGAGAUGAGAUUUCCCAUUCGUCAGAAGUAAGACCCCUGAGAGACGAUCAGGUAGAUAGGCUAGAAGUGGAAGUGUAGUGAUGCAUGGAGCGGACUAGUACUAAUAGGUCGAGGACUUAACCAAG
Molecule: ribosomal RNA, 1316 nt
Filed under: Oenococcus oeni
Lineage: Bacteria; Bacillati; Bacillota; Bacilli; Lactobacillales; Lactobacillaceae
Description: bacterial LSU rRNA
Rfam family: Bacterial large subunit ribosomal RNA
Source: RNAcentral